Molecule: non-coding RNA, 464 nt
Organism: Phascolarctos cinereus (koala)
Lineage: Eukaryota; Metazoa; Chordata; Mammalia; Diprotodontia; Phascolarctidae
Source: RefSeq, a predicted model, not a curated record
CCAGAGCUGAGAAAGUUUCUGUGCCUUGCCCAGAGUUACACAGCCAGUAAAUAUCUGAGACGGAAUUUAUACUUAGGUUUUCUUGACUCUCUGCCCAACACUGCACAGCACAGAAGUGGUUCCACAGCCCUGGAACAUGGUGGCAAUUUCAACAUUGAAAGUCCAGAGAUGGGACAAGAAACUCAUUACAGGGGUGAUGUCUAGCCUGUGAGCAGGAGAAGAAAGGAAGGAAAAUUGAUACUGAGCAUGUGCAAUGGAAAGAAAGCUGGCAAUGUCAGUGUGAAUAAUGGGUGAAGAAAAGGAAUGAGGGGGUGUGGCAUCUCAAUCAAGAUUAAAAUGAAACUGAUAAAGCAGCAUAUGGACUGGAUAACAAAUCAAAAGCAUGUUUAUCCACUCAAGGAACUGGUUAAUGGAGACUGCCAGCACGUUGCCAUGGAAACACUGACUGUUGGAGCUGCACCAUC